UAUGCCACCCAAUAAGAUAUAAUGGCAUUAUAUUAGCAUUUAUGAUAUAGGAUUAGAUUUUUGUUUUGUUCUAAAAAUAUUAUUAGGAUGUCAGGUGAAAAUUGAGAAGGGGAUCUGAGUGAAGAAUAUGGAAAUUUUCAGUACUGAUUUUGCAACUUUAUAUAAAUUCUAUCUUACCUCUUAUUUUUAUUUUUAGGCACAAUGACUGUAAAGUUGUAUCACCUGCAUUAAGUGCAGCUGGUAAUACUGUAACUGGUGAUGAUAUUCAAACACAGGUACUUGGUAACCUCGGGCUGUAUUAAACCACUUUGUGACCUUUUGACUGUCACGGACUGCAGAUGGAGAGAGGCUGAUUGGGGCUGGUCCGCGGCAUUGGAGAACAAGAAUCUAAGCAGAAUGGAGUGGGUGUCAAUCCAUACUGUGCUCUCAUUGAAGAAUCAUAUGGUAAGCAAGUAGUUGGAAGUUUGUAACUGUAGUUACUUCUUAAUUAUCUGCCCUAGGUGGCCUCUCCCCAAUAUGCACCUCUACCUUUUCCCAUUUUAUAAGUUGUUUUCAUAAUUAUAAAAGCUAGUCCCUAAUCUCCUAUACUCACAAUUCUUACUGAAUAAGAUGUAAGUGUGAAGUCAUUGAUUUGUGCAAAAAAUAAAUUUAAAGAAGUGUCCUAGUCUUUGUGGAGUGAACGGAUGCUAUUGGUUUGGUAUUGUCAUAUAGUAUACCCGGCAGCUCUAAUUAAUAAUUUGUUUCUUUUUUGUGUUCUUUCUGUGAUAGGCUUGGAUAAAAUAGUUUCUGCAAAGUCGUGAAAACCAGAAAAUUUACCAGAAGGCAUUUGAUCUAAAUGAACAAUGUUUCGGUGUGGAAGAUGAUGAUCCCGGUAUUGCACCUCAGGUGGAUGAAAACCAACAACAGUUUGUAUUUCAGCAGCACGAGGCACCAAUAGAAGUGUUUCAACUCUAACAGGUGGUGGGGGAAAUGACUGACAGAAAUGAGCAACUUCUGAUAGCUCUUCAACAUGACCAGUACUGGUAGAAAGGGUUUUAUACAAUACAGGAAAGAGAAGAUUGCAUGCAUUUUUUAAAAACAAAUAUAAAGCAAACGUUUCCAUACCAAUGCACUGUUUCUGUAUAGAUUUUCUGUUUGUUGUUUUGGUUAUUUGUUUUGAUGUUUGAUAGCUGUUUAUUUGUCUUCAGUUGUUUGGAUUUUUGUAUCUAUUUGUGACUAUACAUUAUGCAAAUAUUUCAUUCAAGCUUGAAAGGGAGAACUUGGUGAAUGUUACGUGAAUGAUUCUGAACUUUUCAGGUGUUCUUGAAGACUGCAUAAUAGCAGUGCUGUGAAUAUUGAUAAUUGCAUUUUUGUCAAUAAGACUUGACAAUGCCCAAUCUUUA
Molecule: long non-coding RNA, 1382 nt
Filed under: Mus musculus (house mouse)
Lineage: Eukaryota; Metazoa; Chordata; Mammalia; Rodentia; Muridae
Description: predicted gene, 48018
Source: RNAcentral